Molecule: ribosomal RNA, 253 nt
Filed under: uncultured bacterium
Lineage: Bacteria
Description: partial 16S ribosomal RNA
Rfam family: Bacterial small subunit ribosomal RNA
Source: RNAcentral
GACAGAGGGUGCAACCGUUGUUCGGAAUUACUGGGCGUAAAGCGCGUGUAGGCGGCCCUGCAAGUCGGAUGUGAAAUCCCACGGCUCAACCGUGGAAGUGCAUUCGAAACUGCAGGGCUAGAGUCCUGGAGAGGAAGGUGGAAUGCUUGGUGUAGAGGUGAAAUUCGUAGAUAUCAAGCGGAACACCGGUGGCGAAGGCGGCCUUCUGGACAGUGACUGACGCUGAGACGCGAAAGCGUGGGGAGCAAACGGG